This is an RNA transcript of Solea solea (common sole), 2683 nucleotides long. It is a transcript of the gene named protein kinase, AMP-activated, gamma 3b non-catalytic subunit, with no coding region annotated. The transcript has 13 exons. The record is from RefSeq and is a predicted model, not a curated record. Lineage: Eukaryota; Metazoa; Chordata; Actinopteri; Pleuronectiformes; Soleidae.
AAAGGUCAAUGUUACCUUACAGUGUGUGCUAUUUGUGGGAUUAAAGGAAGUGAUGACAUUUAAGUGUUAAGAGUAAUGUGAUAACUUGUACACGAUAGUUUGCUUAAAGUUGCCAAAAUGUGACUCCAGCAGCAGAAGUUAAUCUGCCAGACCCCAAAUGUGUAUUUUCAGUAUGAAAAUAUCCCCGGCUGUAAUUUGAGUUUUAUGUCAAUCAUUAGCUCUUGAAGAUAUCAUUGAUUAAACGUGUGUGUGUGUGUGUUGGUAGCUCUUCCUUUUCUGUCUUUAGUGUUUUCCCCUCCCACUGUCCCUCUCCCUCUCCCUCUCCCUGUGAAUGCCACAGGCCUCUCACCCCACGGUCCAGAUUUAGACCUCAGUCUUUCCCAGACAUUCGCACCCAGCUGUCUCUUGCUGCCUGGUGUUGCAGUGAAUCCUUUGUCCGACGUUAACUGUGUGUCCCAGUUCUUCCUUCUCUUCCUCGGGCCUUCUCCACCAUGCAUGGACUAUUUCACCACGUCUCUGUCUGACAUGGUAGCAGAUGGUCACAGACGUUUCCGGUGGACAGAGAGUUGGAGUCCUCCAGUCUUAAGUUUUAAUCUCCAGGUUUUUGCCUGUAUUUGUUGCUGCUCCACAGAGGCAGACUUGCCUCCACCUUUUCUCCAGCCAUGGAUCUUCUUCCAGAGAUCCCAUUGUUUGAGAUGGACGAGGAUGAGGACGAGGAGGAUGUUCGCCCAGUGAUGUAUGGAGGUGCCUGUACGUAUGUGGCGCACCCUGUUGCGCCACCUGCAGGCCCCGACCCUGACGCGUACGUAUACAUGAACUUCAUGAAGAGUCACUGCUGCUACGACGCCAUCCCGACCAGCUCCAAACUGGUCAUCUUUGACAUAAAGCUACAGGUGAAGAAGGCCUUCUUUGCUCUGGUGGCUAAUGGUUUGAGGGCAGCACCGCUGUGGGACAGCAAGCUUCAGUGUUUUGUGGGUAUGCUGACCAUCACUGACUUCAUCAACAUUCUGCAUCGGUACUACAAAUCUCCUCUGGUUCAGAUCUAUGAGCUGGAGGAACACAAGAUAGAGACAUGGAGAGAGAUCUAUCUGCAGUACUCAGUUAACAGACUGAUCAGCAUCACUCCUGAGUCCAGUCUGUUUGACGCCAUCUACUCCCUGUUGAAGAAUAAGAUCCACCGGCUCCCAGUCAUCGACCCAGCAUCAGGAAAUGUCCUCCACAUCCUCACUCACAAACGCAUCCUCAAGUUCCUACACAUUUUUGGAUCUAUGAUUCCUAAACCCAGGUUUCUUCAAAAGCGGAUCAGUGAAGUGGCGAUUGGUACCUUCAAAGAGAUUGCGACGGUCCAGGAGUUAGCCUCAGUUUAUGACGCUCUGACAAUUUUUGUAGAGAGAAGAGUGUCGGCUCUGCCCGUGGUCAAUGAACAAGGUAAAGUGGUGGCUCUGUAUUCGAGGUUUGACGUCAUUAAUCUUGCCGCCCAGAAAAGAUACAACAACCUGAACAUGACAAUGAGGGACGCCAUUGCUUCCAGAGCCUGCUGUGUGGAAGGGGUCCUCAAGUGUUACCCUUAUGAAACACUGGAGACCAUCAUUGACCGCAUUGCAAAGGCAGAGGUGCAUCGUUUGGUGUUGGUUGACAAGGACAAUGUGGUGAGAGGGAUUGUUUCUUUAUCUGACCUCCUUCAAGCUCUGGUCCUCAGUCCUGCAGGUAUUGAUGCACUGUACUCCUAACUCCAACCCUUCCAUACGCCCCUUGCUCUCUCUCUCUGUCAGUCCCUUGGUUUUCUGUCCACCCAUCAAUCUGCCUUUGAAUCCUUGAACGCUUUGUGCUGCUUCUGGUGAGCAAUGCUCCUCCUCCUUCCUGCCAAACUCUUCUUCAUCCACCUUUUCAUCCUCCUGAAGACAAUGGGGAUCUUCACCUCUCCUCUUGUGAAGUUUCCUGGUGUCAAAGUCCCAACACAGCCAUUUUUCUCCUGGUUCUUUUGAGCUGUAUUCCUUAUCACUGAACCUCCUGGUCCUCCAAAGUCCAUCUACUCUAAAUCAACUUUGAAAACAUCUGAGAAACUAACCACCUCUUCUAAAUCCUGCUUUGUGUGCAUUGUAAAGCAAAAAACACAUAAUCAGAGACCUUGUUUGGAUUGAUGUCUACUUACAAACAUCCUUACACUUCUUUUCAAACUUUGCACUGAAGCAUCAAACAAAAUUAACCACAUUCCCAAGCCUGCUAAGACACUGCUAAGACCACCUCUAAAACCUGCCUUUUCGGGCAAGCUGAAGCCCUCCCUCUUCUGAAAUCUGUGCCAUCUAAUAGUCCAUCUUCUACUCCAACCUCACUUCAAAACCAGUCAGUUCCUGUACCUGUACCAAGUCCGUGUCAUCCUUGCCAAGUCCCACACAAAUCUUCCAAAGCUUCGUCUAACCUUCGUACCAGUCAGCCGUCCUAGUCUAUGCUAUACGAAGUCCAACACCAAACCCUCCAUACUUUCUCCCGAGCUUGCCUCUUCCAUCAGUUGGUCAGCGUCUUCAUAGUCCAGCUCCUCCUCCUCUGAAACCACCACACCAGCAGCUCCUCAUAUCCAGUACAACACAGAUACUUUGCAGUGUGAGAGCUGAUCCUAUCAAGACUGAAGAAAAAAAUGAGAUGGAGGCUUCCUGCGUUUAUAGAAUGACAUGAUUUGCAGCCG